This 577-nucleotide unclassified non-coding RNA is filed under the name Hevea brasiliensis (rubber tree). Lineage: Eukaryota; Viridiplantae; Streptophyta; Magnoliopsida; Malpighiales; Euphorbiaceae. The record is from RNAcentral.
AGUUUCUUCACUUCUCUGUACAGCUUGCUCAAAAGUCCUGCUAGGAGCAGCAGCGCCGGCGAGGAGCACGCCAGCCGACAGCCCGAUCGUCCCCUCCCUUUUCCCGGCGAGUUUCAGGCAACCAACAACCGUCAGCAAGAGCUGGACGGCGUCCAGCGAGGCAGCAGCUCCGACCAACGACGCAGGGACGCCGAGCAACACCUACAAAUCGGUUUAGUCAGUUUAGAGCUUUGUGACCAUGGUUUAUUAAAUAGGUCUGCUAAGAUUCAUCUCAGGAGAAACCAAGGAGUAUGAGAUACAAUUUCGAGGAGGAGGAUGGUGGCCGUCAAUCUGAAGAUGUGGAAUGGCUACCCUUACAACACCACCCUGUUUUUUCUACUCCGCCGGACAGGGAUAGGGAUGGAGACAGGGCCUUGACAAUGCCCAAAAAUCUUUUAGCAUGGGACGGAGCUUCUCGUCUCUACUUUUGGGACUCCUACAAAACCUGUUUGCAUCGACUCUCUCUUCGAUUGGGCGAACCUGAUCCAACUUCUCUCCUUGCAGCUUCUCCCUCUAAGGUAUUGCAAGCUGAUGUGCA